Molecule: ribosomal RNA, 757 nt
Filed under: Polyplastron multivesiculatum
Lineage: Eukaryota; Ciliophora; Litostomatea; Entodiniomorphida; Ophryoscolecidae
Description: SSU rRNA
Rfam family: Eukaryotic small subunit ribosomal RNA
Source: RNAcentral
GUUAUUGUUUAUUUGAUACAACAAAUGGAUAACUGUAGAAAAACUAGAGCUAAUACAUGCUUUAAUCGUAAGAUUGUAUUUAUUAGAUAUUCUGAAUUGGUGAAUCAUAAUAACUUCGCAAAUCUCGUUUAUGACGAGAUAAAUCAUCCAAGUUUCUGCCCUAUCAUGCUUUCGAUGGUAGUGUAUUGGACUACCAUGGCUCUCACGGGUAACAGGGAAUUAGGGUUCGAUUCUGGAGAAGGAGCCUGAGAAACGGCUACUACAUCUACGGAAGGCAGCAGGCGCGUAAAUUACCCAAUCCUGACUCAGGGAGGUGGUGACAAGAUAUAACGACGCGGUUAUUAUCGCGAUUGUAGUGAGGGUAUUCUAAACAGAACCUAUAGUACGAUUAGAGGGCAAGUCUGGUGCCAGCAGCCGCGGUAAUUCCAGCUCUAAUAGCGUAUAUUAAAGUUGCUGCAGUUAAAAAGCUCGUAGUUGGAUUUCAAGGAUUGUAGAACCUCCACGGGGAUACAUCCUACUAGUCUUCGGACUGUUACUGUGAGAAAAUUAGAGUGUUUCAAGCAGGCUUUCGCAAGAAUACAUUAGCAUGGAAUAACGAAUGUAUUUAGAAUCUUGGUUAAUUCUAAAUUACGAUUAAUAGAGACAGUUGGGGGCAUUAGUAUUUAAUUGUCAGAGGUGAAAUUCUUGGAUUUGUUAAAGACUAACGUAUGCGAAAGCAUUUGCCAAGGAUGUUUUCAUUAAUCAAGGACGAAAGAUA